This 1811-nucleotide ribosomal RNA is filed under the name Coccomyxa dispar. Its description in RNAcentral is "bacterial LSU rRNA". It matches the Rfam family "Bacterial large subunit ribosomal RNA", at positions 806 to 2579 of the family's 2925-position model. The record is from RNAcentral. Lineage: Eukaryota; Viridiplantae; Chlorophyta; Trebouxiophyceae; Coccomyxaceae.
GAGCUGUGGUUAGGGGUGAAAUGCCAAUCGAACUCGGAGCUAGCUGGUUCUCCCCGAAAUGCGUUGAGGCGCAGCGGUUGACGAUUGUUUUUGAGCUGUCUAGGGGUAAAGCACUGUUUCGGUGCGGGCUGCGAGAGCGGUACCAAAUCGUAGCAAACUAAGAAUACUAGGCACGUCUUUCCGUCAACCAGUGAGACGGUGGGGGAUAAGCUCCAUCGUCAAGAGGGAAACAGCCCAGAUCACCAGCUAAGGCCCCUUAAUGGCCGCUAAGUGGAAAAGGAGGUGAGAAUGCCGAAACAGCCAGAAGGUUUGCUUAGAAGCAGCCAUCCUUUAAAGAGUGCGUAAUAGCUCACUGGUGGAGCGUUCUUGCGCCGAAAAUUUAUGGGACUAAGCGGUCUGCCGAAGCUGUGAGAUACCAACACCUACAAAGGCUGGUAUCGGUAGGGGAGCGUUCCGCCAUAGGGUGAAGCACUGGUGUAAACUAAUGUGGACAAUGCGGAAGUGAGAAUGUCGGCUUGAGUAACGCAAACAUUGGUGAGAAUCCAAUGCCCCGAAAACCUAAGGGUUCCUUCACUAGGUUCGUCCAUGGAGGGUUAGUCGGGACCUAAGACUAGGCCGAAAGGCGUCGUCGAUGGAAAACGGGUUAAUAUUCUCGUACUUGUUUUUGGUUGGCACCGAGGGACGAAGAAGGCAAGAAGUGACCAAAAUUGGAUUUUGGUGGAAGCAUUAAAGGCGUCGAGAGGUAGAAGAAAAACUAGCCUUAAGCUGGACUGUAACCCGGCCCUGCAAUUAGCUGUUCCUCUCGGGGGGCAGCUUAGCAGAGCUCAUUUCUCUCUGUCAAGCUUCCUAGAAAAGCUCGAACUGCUGGAAGACCAAAAGCAACCCGUACCCGAAACCGACACAGGUAGGUAGGUAGAGCAUACCUAGGGGCGCGAGAUAACUCUCUCUAAGGAACUCGGCAAAAUGGCCCCGUAACUUCGGGAGAAGGGGUGCCCCCGAAAGGGGGUCGCAGUGACCAGGCCCAGGCGACUGUUUACCAAAAACACAGGUCUCCGCUAAGUCGUAAGACAAGAUAUGGGGGCUGACGCCUGCCCGGUGCCGGAAGGUGAAGGAAGUUGGUUAUUCUCUGGAAGAAGCUGGCGACCGAAGCCCCGGUGAACGGCGGCCGUAACUAUAACGGUCCUAAGGUAGCGAAAUUCCUUGUCGGGUAAGUUCCGACCCGCACGAAAGGCGUAACGAUCUGGGCACUGUCUCAGAGAGAGACUCGGUGAAAUAGACAUGUCCGUGAAGAUGCGGACUCCCUGCACCUGGACAGAAAGACCCUAUGAAGCUUUACUGUAGCCUGGAAUUGGGUUUGGGCCCUUUUGCGCAGCCUAGGUGGGAGGCUGUGAAGGUCCUCUUCCGGGAGGGCCGGAGCCAACAGUGAGAGACCACUCUGGAGGGGCUAGAAUUCUAAUGGUGCUCCUUGAAACAGGACACUUGACAGUUUCAGGUGGGCAGUUUGACUGGGGCGGUCACCUCCUAAAAGGUAACGGAGGUGUGCAAAGGUUCCCUCAGGCUGGACGGAAAUCAGCCGCAGAGUGUAAAGGCAUAAGGGGGCUUGACUGCAAGACCUACAAGUCGAGCAGGGGCGAAAGCCGGCCUUAGUGAUCCGACGGUGCCGAGUGGAAGGGCCGUCGCUCAACGGAUAAAAGUUACUCUAGGGAUAACAGGCUGAUCUUCCCCAAGAGUUCACAUCGACGGGAAGGUUUGGCACCUCGAUGUCGGCUCAUCGCAUCCUGGGGCGGUAGUACGUCCCAAGGGUUGGGCUG